GAUGAACGCUAGCGGGAGGCCUAACACAUGCAAGCCGAGCGGUAUUGUUUCUUCGGAAAUGAGAGAGCGGCGUACGGGUGCGGAACACGUGUGCAACCUGCCUUUAUCUGGGGGAUAGCCUUUCGAAAGGAAGAUUAAUACUCCAUAACAUAUUGAUUGGCAUCAAUUAAUAUUGAAAGCUCCGGCGGAUAGAGAUGGGCACGCGCAAGAUUAGCUAGUUGGUGAGGUAACGGCUCACCAAGGCGAUGAUCUUUAGGGGGCCUGAGAGGGUGAUCCCCCACACUGGUACUGAGACACGGACCAGACUCCUACGGGAGGCAGCAGUGGGGAAUAUUGGUCAAUGGGUGCAAGCCUGAACCAGCCAUCCCGCGUGAAGGACGACUGCCCUAUGGGUUGUAAACUUCUUUUGUAUAGGGAUAAACCUACCCUCGUGAGGGUAGCUGAAGGUACUAUACGAAUAAGCACCGGCUAACUCCGUGCCAGCAGCCGCGGUAAUACGGAGGGUGCAAGCGUUAUCCGGAUUUAUUGGGUUUAAAGGGUCCGUAGGCGGACUUAUAAGUCAGUGGUGAAAGCCUGUCGCUUAACGAUAGAACUGCCAUUGAUACUGUAAGUCUUGAGUAUAUUUGAGGUAGCUGGAAUAAGUAGUGUAGCGGUGAAAUGCAUAGAUAUUACUUAGAACACCAAUUGCGAAGGCAGGUUACCAAGAUAUAACUGACGCUGAGGGACGAAAGCGUGGGGAGCGAACAGGAUUAGAUACCCUGGUAGUCCACGCCGUAAACGAUGCUAACUCGUUUUUGGGCUUUAGGGUUCAGAGACCAAGCGAAAGUGAUAAGUUAGCCACCUGGGGGGUACGCUCGCAAGGGUGAAACUCAAAGGAAUUGACGGGGGCCCGCACAAGCGGUGGAUUAUGUGGUUUAAUUCGAUGAUACGCGAGGAACCUUACCAAGACUCAAAUGGGAAUUGACAGCUUUAGAAAUAGAGCUUUCUUCGGACAAUUUUCAAGGUGCUGCAUGGUUGUCGUCAGCUCGUGCCGUGAGGUGUUAGGUUAAGUCCUGCAACGAGCGCAACCCCUGUCACUAGUUGCCAUCAUUCAGUUGGGGACUCUAGUGAGACUGCCUACGCAAGUAGAGAGGAAGGUGGGGAUGACGUCAAAUCAUCACGGCCCUUACGUCUUGGGCCACACACGUAAUACAAUGGCCGGUACAGAGGGCAGCUACACAGCGAUGUGAUGCAAAUCUCGAAAGCCGGUCUCAGUUCGGAUUGGAGUCUGCAACUCGACUCUAUGAAGCUGGAAUCGCUAGUAAUCGCGCAUCAGCCAUGGCGCGGUGAAAACGUUCCCGGGCCU
RNAcentral lists this ribosomal RNA (1345 nucleotides) under uncultured bacterium. Its description in RNAcentral is "bacterial SSU rRNA". It matches the Rfam family "Bacterial small subunit ribosomal RNA", at positions 28 to 1381 of the family's 1533-position model. The record is from RNAcentral.